Molecule: ribosomal RNA, 643 nt
Filed under: Hygrocybe conica
Lineage: Eukaryota; Fungi; Basidiomycota; Agaricomycetes; Agaricales; Hygrophoraceae
Description: eukaryotic LSU rRNA
Rfam family: Eukaryotic large subunit ribosomal RNA
Source: RNAcentral
UUCCAUGCUAACAGCAGUUGGACAUGGGUCAGUCGAUCCUAAGAGAUAGGGAAGCUCCGUUUCAACGUGUGCGAUUUUUCGUGCCGCCUAUCGAAAGGGAAUCCGGUUAAUAUUCCGGAACCAGAGUGCAGAUUUUUGACGGCAACGUAAAUGAACUUGGAGACGCUGGCGAGGGCCCCGGGAAGAGUUUUCUUUUCUCCUUAACAGUCUGACCACCCUGGAAGCGGUUUGUCCGGAGAUAGGGUUCUAUGGCUGGUAGAGCUCGACACUUGCGUCGGGUCCGGUGCGUUCUUGACAGCCCUUGAAAAUCCAAGGGAACGAAUAAUUCUUGCAUCUGGUCGUACUCAUAACCGCAGCAGGUCCCCAAGGUGAACAGCCUCUAGUUGAUAGAACAAUGUAGAUAAGGGAAGUCGGCAAAUUAGAUCCGUAACUUCGGGAAAAGGAUUGGCUCUAAGGGUUGGGUGCGUCGGGCCUUGGCAGGAAGCUGCGAGGGCCACAGCUGGGACUGCCUGGAGGGCAACCUCUGGGCGGAUCUGGCCAGGACCUUGUAUUGCUGGCGGCCUUGGCUGUCUCUCGCAAGGGAGGCGUCCGGCGCACGCUUAACAACCAACUUAGAACUGGUACGGACAAGGGGAAUCUGACU